GAUUCCUAACCACCUCUAGUGA
This 22-nucleotide transfer RNA is filed under the name Schizothorax richardsonii (snow trout). RNAcentral's name for it is "partial tRNA-Lys". The record is from RNAcentral. Lineage: Eukaryota; Metazoa; Chordata; Actinopteri; Cypriniformes; Cyprinidae.